GACGAACGCUGGCGGCGUGCUUAACACAUGCAAGUCGAACGGAAAGGCCCUGCUUUUGUGGGGUGCUCGAGUGGCGAACGGGUGAGUAACACGUGAGUAACCUGCCCUUGACUUUGGGAUAACUUCAGGAAACUGGGGCUAAUACCGGAUAGGAGCUCCUGCUGCAUGGUGGGGGUUGGAAAGUUUCGGCGGUUGGGGAUGGACUCGCGGCUUAUCAGCUUGUUGGUGGGGUAGUGGCUUACCAAGGCUUUGACGGGUAGCCGGCCUGGGAGGGUGACCGGCCACAGUGGGACUGGGAUACGGCGCAGACUCCAACGGGAGGCAGAAGUGGGGAGUGUUGCACAAUGGGCGGAAGCCUGAAGCAGCAACGCCGCGUGGGGGAUGACGGGCUUCGGGUUGUAAAACGCUUUCGCCUGUGACGAAGCGUGAGUGACGGUAAUGGGUAAGGAAGCAACGGCUAACUACGUG
This 468-nucleotide ribosomal RNA is filed under the name uncultured bacterium. Its description in RNAcentral is "partial 16S ribosomal RNA". It matches the Rfam family "Bacterial small subunit ribosomal RNA", at positions 28 to 507 of the family's 1533-position model. The record is from RNAcentral.